Trachemys scripta elegans is the source of this 399-nucleotide long non-coding RNA. RefSeq lists it as uncharacterized. The transcript has 3 exons. The record is from RefSeq and is a predicted model, not a curated record. Lineage: Eukaryota; Metazoa; Chordata; Testudines; Emydidae.
AGGGCCCUUGCGAGGGGGAGCGGAGCAGAGCAGAGCCGAGUGGUAGCGUGCACGCAGCUCCGCAGAGCAGGCAGAGAGAGGUCAGAUUUGCAGACCAGAGCAUUUGAGGACACUCCAGAAGUCUGAGGAUCAGCGGAUGCCCAUCUAGGACUACAUUCAGAAGGUCCACUGCUGGCAUACCCCAAUGACUGGAGAUCAGGUGGACGAUGUCCUCCUUCAGGGACCAUUCUCCAGGGAACAUCUUGGAUCUACUACACCUGCCAGCUUUAAAGUUUGGGGCUUAAACUGAGAGCAAGGUCUACUCUGUCCAUCCAAACACUGAGUGAGAUUGCACAAAUAUGAUAGACAGCACCCCAUCAUAAAUUGUUAAUGCCUCUUAUUGAUUCCAAUAUUGCCGAA